RNAcentral lists this ribosomal RNA (492 nucleotides) under uncultured bacterium. RNAcentral describes it as "partial 16S ribosomal RNA". It matches the Rfam family "Bacterial small subunit ribosomal RNA", at positions 29 to 507 of the family's 1533-position model. The record is from RNAcentral.
AGUGGACGCUGGCGGUAGGCCUAACACAUGCAAGUCGAACGGCAGCACAGUAAGAGCUUGCUCUUACGGGUGGCGAGUGGCGGACGGGUGAGGAAUACAUCGGAAUCUACUUUUUCGUGGGGGAUAACGUAGGGAAACUUACGCUAAUACCGCAUACGACCUACGGGUGAAAGCAGGGGAUCUUCGGACCUUGCGCGAUUGAAUGAGCCGAUGUCGGAUUAGCUAGUUGGCGGGGUAAAGGCCCACCAAGGCGACGAUCCGUAGCUGGUCUGAGAGGAUGAUCAGCCACACUGGAACUGAGACACGGUCCAGACUCCUACGGGAGGCAGCAGUGGGGAAUAUUGGACAAUGGGCGCAAGCCUGAUCCAGCCAUACCGCGUGGGUGAAGAAGGCCUUCGGGUUGUAAAGCCCUUUUGUUGGGAAAGAAAUCCAGCCGGCUAAUACCUGGUUGGGAUGACGGUACCCAAAGAAUAAGCACCGGCUAACUUCGUG